UUGUCCAGUUUGUAAAUUUUCUAUUUCUCAUCUGCAGAGUUGUCUGUCUUUAUCCAAAACCCCUCCAUUGAAGAGAUGUGGAUCAACCAGACCGCUACUCUGGUGUGUAUGAUUGUGGGUGCUGAUCUGAGCCAGGUCCAAAUCCACUGGCAGGUGAACGAGUGGGGGAAAAUCAAAACAAACAUGACCAAAAAACCGAGAGAGGAAAGAACCCGAGGCACAGUGAUCAGCCAACUCCAGACCAGUGUGGAGGAGUGGGCCAGUGGGGUGGAGUACACUUGCUCUGCCCAACAACCUUCUUCAACCUCACCAGUAUCAGCACGGACAAAAAGUACCAAAGUUCCAGUGGAGACAAAAGGUCCCAAAGUCAGACUGCUGCCCCCGCCAGAGGGAGAGACCAAGAGUGGGAACACGGUCACCCUCGAGUGUAUUGCUUCUGGAUUCUACCCAAACCAAAUAACCAUCACCUGGGAGAAAGGGGACUCUCUGAUCUCUUCCAACAUCAGUGUGAGACCAGCUGCUCUGGAACAGGCGGGGACUUUCAUUGCCAGCUACGUCCUGACCGUGAGCACAGAGGAGUGGAAGGAAGGCUCAGUUUUCAGAUGCACAGUGUCUCAUCCCCCCUCCAACACCAGCGUCAGGCUGGAUGUGAAAAACAUUCAAGAAAUCUGCACAGACUUGACAGGGGAGGAGGGGAAGGAAGAACAGGGACGCGUGGAUGGAGAUGACAAUCUGCCUACAGUUGCUGCCUUUGCCAUUCUGUUCAUCAUCAGUUUCCUCUACAGCACCUUCGUCACCGUUGUCAAGGUUCAGCAGUGACCAGCAGACACACGCCCCACACUCAGACAAGAAAUCCCCGUCUGGCUGCGAUGUUUGGAAAUGGAGUCUCCAUCUCACUCACUCGGCAAUCCGAGGCUACUGCACUGCAACUGCUCAUUUCAGAAUAUAAACCUCUAGAUGCUCCUGGGAUGCCAGAUGGAAAAUGGGGGCACGGAGCCGGUUAGGUGGGUGGAGGGACAACAGUGGAUGAUACAUUGGGAAAAUGGCAGGAUAAUGUGACACUGGAGGGGGUAUAAAGGAGGGGAGAGGAAGGCAGCAUUAAGCCUUGGGAAUGGGAAACAGGGGAUGGGAGCUUUAUGAGUGAAGGAGAAGAGGGAGGUGAGGAAAUGGAUAUUAUUGUUAAGGAGCAAGAAAUUGAUGUGGGGGGGUGAUUGUGGUGGAG
Non-coding RNA from Hypanus sabinus (Atlantic stingray), 1222 nucleotides. NCBI's taxonomy places the organism in Eukaryota, Metazoa, Chordata, Chondrichthyes, Myliobatiformes, Dasyatidae. The record is from the annotation of a RefSeq genome assembly.